Molecule: long non-coding RNA, 236 nt
Filed under: Olea europaea (common olive)
Lineage: Eukaryota; Viridiplantae; Streptophyta; Magnoliopsida; Lamiales; Oleaceae
Description: long non-coding RNA (OEUR_LNC013065)
Source: RNAcentral
UCACCUUCGUUUGCAGAAAGCUGAGAUUUUCAGCAUUUUCUCCCCACAAUAUCAAAUAUCAAAACACCGAAAGAGUGAUAAAUACUCAGGGUUAGAAUCAACAAUAUAAAGGGCGACUAUCGGCUUCGUGAUGGAUUGGAGGAGACUAGGUUUUCUCUGAGGGGGAAAUGGAAAACGGGAAUGGGAAGGGUCAGGGAAAAGGGAGGGACCUUAUACUCGUUUUAUAAUUUCUACAC